ACACCGGGCGGGUCUGUCCCGCACGGCUCCCGCGGGCCGCGCUCCCCGCGCUGCGGGCCCGCAGGCCGCGGCCUGGUGGGGCCCGGCCGCGCUCGCCCCUCCCCGGGCCCCAGCGAGCGGCGGUGGGAGGGCGGCGGGCUCGGCCCGCAGCGCAUCGUUCAAAAGAAACCAAGCGUCGAGAGACAACGAAAUGGAGGAAAAAUGGCCGAGCCCCGGCCGGCUGCGAAAGGCCGGUGGAGGACGCCAGGCCCCGCCGAGCUGCGGGGCGGCUGCUGCCCCGAUCCGCAGAGAGCCCGAGCCAUCGCUGCCAAGCACAUCCCUGCUCCUGGGGGAAAGCAAGAUGGGGCCGGAGGAUGGCUGCUUUCCCCGCAGUGCCCCUCCAUCUUACAGAUUUCGGAGCAGUCAGGGCUUCCCCUCGUAGUAAAGGAAUUUAAAUUUGCAUUGUGCUGAUGGGUAAAAUAUUUAAGCUCCAGAUGCCGGUUCUCCCCUCACUCCGUGUUACCUGUCCACCAUCAGCAGGCUCCCUGCAGAAAUCCUGGGUGCAGUGGUUGUGAGUGGAACCUGCUUGGUGCAGAGUGGGAAUUUCACCAAACCAAAACCCAUACACAAAAAUCAAGCCUGGUCUGUCCUAUUAAAAAAAAAAAAAAAUGCACAUACUGGAUUAGUAAGAGCAGAUGCAACUUGAAAACCAAGAGCUAAAUUGAUUUAUAGCCAUGGUUACUCGAAAUGCUCAGAGUUUAAUCUAUUCAUAGAAAUGCUCUAGAAAUCCCACAGGAUUCCAAUGGAAUAAAAAGGAGCAGUGCUCUUAGGCAGGCAUUAUUUAUACACCUUGCUCCUAAAGCAACAGCUUUCCCAUGCGCUUGGAAGAGUUGUGGGUGGCAGCACACAAUGCUAAAAAGAUGAAAUAUUGAACAGCUUUCUUAAAUUACCAUUUUCCUUACAUUUUACCUUUUAAACUGAUUGUUUUGUUUUACCUCACAGGCCCAAGUAACCUCGUGGUUAGCACUUUCUGAGCUAGAUGACAGAUCCUACCCAAAAUGGGCUCAGCAUGAAGAAUUUUCCCAUGGAAAAUACUCUUAACAGAGACAGUGAUUUAAAGAAAUUUCAUUUUUUAAUCCUUUUAGUGAACUCAUGAGAUGCUUCACUAUUUCACAGCCACGGAACUCAGUGAGAAGGACACUGAGGAUUUCUGGAGCCCAAGAGUUUCUGUGGAAGACAUCAGCACCUGCACAGCCAAAGGUUACCACUGGCACCAAUUUUGGGAGCAUUUACUCUGACGUUUUGGAUGUCAAUGAUGUGACAAAGAGCAGCCAACAGUGGAUGUGGUGGUUUAGCUGGAGAAAAAUUCAGGAUUCAAUCAAGAAAGAAAGGAAACAAUUCCUAAUGGAGAAUCAUGUUCCCUUUUGCCUCUCCUGUCCACGAUCCAGGUCUUGGACACAACAAGGGCAUUUCCUUCCUCAGCCAGCAAAGCUCCAGGAUCCAUCUGAUGAUGCCAUGGCUCUGCAGCGAUUCUUGGGACAGAGCUGCAAACUGGGAGAGACACCAACCGUGCCCAGCAAAGCACCAGGAAAUCGCCAACCAGGCGCUUUUUGCCUUUAGAUUUCACAUAUUUAGAAAGAGGAGGGGGGAACCCAGCCUGGCUCCUGCUAAGCAGCAGCAGCAGCAGCACACAAAGCAAUCGUUAUGCCAAGAUUUAGCUGUUAAAUCCCUCAAGAUCUGGUGCUCACAGAGCAUAAACAACCUUUGCCUCCCAGCCUGGCCGAGCUGUACCUCCAGGUUUUCCAGCACAGCCACACAGACCCUCCCAUACCCAUCCCCUCCCCAGCCCUUCGCUGAGGCUGCCGUGCCAACAAGAAAGCCAGUUGCCAUGGCAUUUUUUCCCCCUACAGACAGAUGUCCAUUAAAAACCAAGUCAGCCUCA
Long non-coding RNA from Vidua chalybeata, 1921 nucleotides. RefSeq lists it as uncharacterized. The transcript has 3 exons. The record is from RefSeq and is a predicted model, not a curated record. NCBI's taxonomy places the organism in Eukaryota, Metazoa, Chordata, Aves, Passeriformes, Viduidae.